UGAGAAGCACAUGUAAAUCUAGAUAGCA
RNAcentral lists this non-coding RNA (28 nucleotides) under Mus musculus (house mouse). Lineage: Eukaryota; Metazoa; Chordata; Mammalia; Rodentia; Muridae. The record is from RNAcentral.